Non-coding RNA from Amborella trichopoda, 1381 nucleotides. The record is from RefSeq and is a predicted model, not a curated record. NCBI's taxonomy places the organism in Eukaryota, Viridiplantae, Streptophyta, Magnoliopsida, Amborellales, Amborellaceae.
GGACGUUACCCGUGUCAGGUCCGAGCGAGAGCAGGACAGGAUCCUCAGGGUCCGAGGUGGCUCAGCGAAUGAGUUCGGCGCUUUUUAAAUCCCUAGUUCAUAAUCAAUCCUACGCGCAAUUUCAUAACUUCCCUUAGAUUAAUAGACUGAUUAUGGGACGAAAUGAUUUACAUGGACUUUAUUUUUCUCCCAAAGUAAAGGUGACUAAAAUCUGUCCACCCUGAAGGGUUCUUUCCAGGGUUUCUAGGCACAACAAGAUAUGUUCCUGGUGCUUGUUUUAAUAUUCUCACCUUCGUUUUUGAAUUUUGAAAUCCAAGUUUUGCGACUAAAAUGCACCGCCAAACUUCCAUGACAAAAUUGCCAUAAAGUUCGCCUCGAUUUCGACUAAAAUUUCAUCAGAUUCAGGGUGAUUUUGGUUGAAUAUGAAUCGAAUUCUUUUCAUUUAGGAACAAAUUUGGUCGGGGAGUUGUAAUCAAAGCUGGGUUUUUUUCUAAUUUUUUUUUGCGAAAUUUAGGGAUUUUCAAUUGUUUAUUUGGAGCCGUUUUGUCAGAAAUUUGGUGAAAUUCUUAUGUAUUCAUGGUGUUGUGUGGAUCUAUUAUCUGUUGCCUGAAUUUUUAUUCAGUUGUCUUUGAUAGUUUGUGGUUUUGGUACCUCUCUUCCUCACUUGAUGUACUGCUUUGUAGGUUUAGGGCUCUAAGACACUGUUUGGACGGUUGUUCAUGAUUGGAUGUAAUGAAGGCAAGGUGUGCACUUUCUUUGUUAAGCUGUUUUUUUUUCUCCAUUAAAGAAAGUCUUAUCAAACAAAGAGGGGAAGGUGCCUGAUCUAUGGUGGCCUGAAUUCCUAGUACCCCGACUCGAAGAUAAAUUACAUCCAUGUUAGCUAGACUGUCUACCAUUAAGCUUGUCAAUAAUGCAUUAGGAUCAAGGUCUACAGAAUGGAUCAUCUAAGGAUACAUCAAGAGCAUUUGUUGCCGGAGUUAUUGGUAAAUUGCUGAUGAUUGGAAGAUUUAACUUGUACACAAUCUAAGCAUAACUGAUGGUGCCUUGAGAAUUUAGAGUGAAACUCUCCAUCUGGGGUAUGAUAUCUGGAAAACAUGUCAAAUAUGUCCAUUUAACUGUCAUAAAAUAUGAUAUUUUCCUCUCAGUAAAGCUGGUAAACCCUUAUCAGCAAUCAUGAGACCAUUUCUUUUGGCUCUAUUGAUACAAUAAAAUUAUCAUAAUUUAUCUCGUUUCCUUUCAUGACAUAUGACUCUCACACCGGCCAUAUCCUACUAAUUAUGCUAUGUGCUUCAAAGAAGGAGAAAUCACAAACUUUCUCAGCACACUAUGAAUAUUGGAUUUAUCUUAACUAUUUUUCAACACUAUGAAUAAUGGACCUAGU